This 410-nucleotide ribosomal RNA is filed under the name uncultured Flavobacteriia bacterium. RNAcentral describes it as "bacterial SSU rRNA". It matches the Rfam family "Bacterial small subunit ribosomal RNA", at positions 370 to 779 of the family's 1533-position model. The record is from RNAcentral. Lineage: Bacteria; Pseudomonadati; Bacteroidota; Flavobacteriia.
AAUGGACGAAAGUCUGACGCAGCCAUGCCGCGUGAAGGAUGAAUGCCUACGGGUUGUAAACUUCUUUUAUAUACCAAGAACCCUCGGACGUGUCCGAGGCUGACGGUAGUAUAUGAAUAAGGACCGGCUAACUCCGUGCCAGCAGCCGCGGUAAUACGGAGGGUCCAAGCGUUAUCCGGAUUUAUUGGGUUUAAAGGGUUCGUAGGCGGAAUAUUAAGUCAGUGGUGAAAGCCCACAGCUCAACUGUGGAACUGCCAUUGAUACUGAUAUUCUUGAGUGUAAUAGAAGUUAGCGGAAUGUGUCAUGUAGCGGUGAAAUGCUUAGAUAUGACCCAGAACACCGAUUGCGAAAGCAGCUAGCUAUGUUAAUACUGACGCUGAGGAACGAAAGCGUGGGGAGCGAACAGGAUU